Molecule: transfer RNA, 56 nt
Filed under: Bigelowiella sp. RCC560
Lineage: Eukaryota; Cercozoa; Chlorarachniophyceae
Description: partial tRNA
Source: RNAcentral
UGAUAAUAUCAAACUUUUUUUCAGACUAUAGUUUUAUGUUUUUUAAAAGAACUGAG